RNAcentral lists this ribosomal RNA (533 nucleotides) under uncultured bacterium. RNAcentral's name for it is "bacterial SSU rRNA". It matches the Rfam family "Bacterial small subunit ribosomal RNA", at positions 355 to 901 of the family's 1533-position model. The record is from RNAcentral.
UGAGGGAUAUUGCGCAAUGGGGGAAACCCUGACGCAGCGACGCCGCGUGGGUGAAGAAGGCUUUCGGGUCGUAAAGCCCUUUUUGGCAUGACGAGGAAGGACGGUAGUGCCAGAAGAAGCCUCGGCUAACUACGUGCCAGCAGCCGCGGUAAAACGUAGGAGGCGAGCGUUAUCCGGAGUUACUGGGCGUAAAGGGUGCGUAGGCGGCGGUGCAAGUGAGGCGUGAAAGCCCCGGGCUAAACUCGGGGAGGACAUUUCAGACUGCACGGCUAGAGUGAAACAGAGGAGCGCGGAAUUCGGGGUGUAGCGGUGAAAUGUGUAGAGAUCCCGAGGAACACCAGUGGUGCAAACGGCGCUCUGGGUUUAGACUGACGCUGAGGCACGAAAGCUUGGGGAGCGAACGGGAUUAGAGACCCCGGUAGUCCAAGCCGUAAACGAUGUCAACUGGGUGUUUGGGAGGGGAAACCUGACUGGGUGCCGAAGCCAACGCGGUAAGUUGACCGCCUGGGGAGUACGGUCGCAAGGCUAAAACU